GAUGAAGAACGUAGCGAAAUGCGAUAAGUAGUGUGAAUUGCAGAAUUCAGUGAAUCAUCGAAUCUUUGAACGCACAUUGCGCCCCUUGGUAUUCCAUGGGGCAUGCCUGUUCGAGCGUCAUUUGUACCUUCAAGCUUUACUUGGUGUUGGGUGUUUGUCCUGAGGGACUCGCCUUAAAGUAAUUGGCAGCCAGUGUUUGGUUUUGAAGCGCAGCACAAGUCGCGAUUCAAGGCUAUACACCAGCUUCCACAAGCCUUUUUCACUUUUGACCUCGGAUCAGGUAGGGAUACCCGCUGAACUUAAGCAUAUCAAUAAGCGGAGGA
This 323-nucleotide unclassified non-coding RNA is filed under the name soil metagenome. RNAcentral describes it as "partial contains 5.8S ribosomal RNA, internal transcribed spacer 2, and large subunit ribosomal RNA". The stretch from base 1 to 120 matches the Rfam family "5.8S ribosomal RNA", at positions 35 to 154 of the family's 154-position model. The record is from RNAcentral.